This is a long non-coding RNA of Pygocentrus nattereri (red-bellied piranha), 718 nucleotides long. RefSeq lists it as uncharacterized. Lineage: Eukaryota; Metazoa; Chordata; Actinopteri; Characiformes; Serrasalmidae. The record is from RefSeq and is a predicted model, not a curated record. The transcript has 3 exons.
UACACUGACACGCUCUCUGUCUUCUGAGAUGGCCUCUGGCAGAUAAGUGGAGUUUUCUCUCUUUUUAAGAAAAUUUAUUAGACUCUAAACAAAGUUAUGCUUUUGAAAUUUAAGAUACCAGAUGUUAUGUUUCAUGGAUCUGUCUCUUCACUGAUGAAGAGACCAUUAGAACCAUCAGGAUUAAAACCUGAAGGUUUGGUUUUCUAAUGGGAAUUAUCUUAAUGGUUAUCAUUAUCACACGUUUUCUGUAGGACACCUUUGGAUCCAAUAAAGAAAGGAGGUGAAAGUAGGGAGAGAGUUGAGCAUCCUGACAGCCUAGUGGAUGAAGCUGAUCCCCCAGUCUGCUGGUCCUGACCCGGAGCCUCUGUCUUCUUCUUGAUGGCAGCAGGCUGAAGAAGCUGUGUAGUGGCAGGAGGCGGGCAUUGCUGCUAGAGCGUGAUGAUUGACUGGCGAACGGAGCAGCUCAUUGGCUCUUCGCGCUCACUGAUAUCAUGGACGUACACGAGGAGGAAAUCCCUGCAGACACGCGGAGAACAUACAAACUCCAAACAGAAAGGACCCUGAUUGCCUAGCCAGAGAAUCGAACCCAGGCCCUUUUUGGUGUGAGGUGGUGCUACCCACUGUACCAUGUGCCACCUAGAACCACAGCUCUAUGUUAUGAAAUAUAUCCAUAAGUACCUAUAUACACUGACCAGCCACUUCCUUGUUUUUACACUCA